GAUGAACGCUAGCUACAGGCUUAACACAUGCAAGUCGCGGGGCAGCAUGGGGGUUGCUUGCAACCCCUGAUGGCGACCGGCGCACGGGUGAGUAACGCGUAUCCAACCUGCCCUUCACCACGGGAUAACCCGGCGAAAGUCGGACUAAUACCGUAUGUUGUCCAUUGACGGCAUCCGAUUUGGACGAAAGGUUUGGCGGUGAAAGGAUGGGGAUGCGUCCGAUUAGCUUGACGGCGGGGUAACGGCCCACCGUGGCUACGAUCGGUAGGGGUUCUGAGAGGAAGGUCCCCCACACUGGAACUGAGACACGGUCCAGACUCCUACGGGAGGCAGCAGUGAGGAAUAUUGGUCAAUGGGCGUAAGCCUGAACCAGCCAAGUAGCGUGCAGGAUGACGGCCCUAUGGGUUGUAAACUGCUUUUAUGCGGGGAUAAAGUGGCCCACGUGUGGGCUUUUGCAGGUACCGCAUGAAUAAGGACCGGCUAAUUCCGUG
RNAcentral lists this ribosomal RNA (491 nucleotides) under uncultured bacterium. RNAcentral describes it as "partial 16S ribosomal RNA". It matches the Rfam family "Bacterial small subunit ribosomal RNA", at positions 28 to 507 of the family's 1533-position model. The record is from RNAcentral.